RNAcentral lists this ribosomal RNA (422 nucleotides) under uncultured bacterium. Its description in RNAcentral is "bacterial SSU rRNA". It matches the Rfam family "Bacterial small subunit ribosomal RNA", at positions 355 to 774 of the family's 1533-position model. The record is from RNAcentral. RNAcentral also lists the same sequence under 1 other name.
UAAGGAAUAUUGGACAAUGGACGCAAGUCUGAUCCAGCCAUGCCGCGUGAAGGAUUAAGGUCCUCUGGAUUGUAAACUUCUUUUAUAAGGGACGAAAAAAGGUCUUUCUAGAUCGUCUGACGGUACCUUAUGAAUAAGCACCGGCUAACUCCGUGCCAGCAGCCGCGGUAAUACGGAGGGUGCAAGCGUUAUCCGGAUUCACUGGGUUUAAAGGGUGCGUAGGCGGGCAGGUAAGUCAGUGGUGAAAUCCUAGAGCUCAACUCUAGAACUGCCAUUGAUACUAUCUGUCUUGAAUAUUGUGGAGGUAAGCGGAAUAUGUCAUGUAGCGGUGAAAUGCUUAGAUAUGACAUAGAACACCUAUUGCGAAGGCAGCUUACUACGCAUAUAUUGACGCUGAGGCACGAAAGCGUGGGGAUCAAACA